GACGUAGGGUGCGAGCGUUGUCCGGAUUUAUUGGGCGUAAAGAGCUCGUAGGCGGCUCGUCGCGUCGACCGUGAAAACCCGCGGCUUAACUGCGGGCUUGCGGUCGAUACGGGCGGGCUAGAGUUCGGUAGGGGAGACUGGAAUUCCUGGUGUAGCGGUGAAAUGCGCAGAUAUCAGGAGGAACACCGGUGGCGAAGGCGGGUCUCUGGGCCGAUACUGACGCUGAGGAGCGAAAGCGUGGGGAGCGAACAGG
RNAcentral lists this ribosomal RNA (253 nucleotides) under uncultured bacterium. RNAcentral's name for it is "partial 16S ribosomal RNA". It matches the Rfam family "Bacterial small subunit ribosomal RNA", at positions 524 to 776 of the family's 1533-position model. The record is from RNAcentral.